UUUCCCUCAGGAUAGCUGGCGCUCGCUUGAGCGAGUCUCAUCUGGUAAAGCGAAUGAUUAGAGGCCUUGGGGCCGAAACGACCUCAACCUAUUCUCAAACUUUAAAUGGGUGAGAUCUCUGGCUUGCUUGAACGUUGAAGCCACGAGAUUAAUUGCAAUGGAUCAGAGUGCCAAGUGGGCCAAUUUUGGUAAGCAGAACUGGCGCUGUGGGA
This 212-nucleotide ribosomal RNA is filed under the name Lycisca sp. D2284. Its description in RNAcentral is "partial 28S ribosomal RNA". It matches the Rfam family "Eukaryotic large subunit ribosomal RNA", at positions 967 to 1163 of the family's 3401-position model. The record is from RNAcentral. Lineage: Eukaryota; Metazoa; Arthropoda; Insecta; Hymenoptera; Lyciscidae.